Molecule: long non-coding RNA, 941 nt
Filed under: Mustela putorius furo (domestic ferret)
Lineage: Eukaryota; Metazoa; Chordata; Mammalia; Carnivora; Mustelidae
Description: lncRNA (ENSMPUG00000023918.1)
Source: RNAcentral
AUGAACUUAACAGCUUUUCCAUUUAGUUCUCUGAGGAUGUGGAGCAGUGAAGUCAAGUUACCUACAAAUAAGGAUGGUCUUCUACCUCCCCACUGCCAUCAUUUUCAAGGACAAGAUACACAGUUCCCUGUCAUCUCAUUUACAAUGUUAAGUGCAGAACUGAGGUACUUGCAGUGCAGCAUUCCACGGACUCAUCAAUCAGAAAUCAAAGGCAAUUGAAUUAUUGGGCUUCUACAGGUAUAUGCAGCAGAUAGUGUAUGAGCUAAAAGCCCUACAUUGGCUGAGAAAACUCACCAAUUCUGUCUUCUUAAAAAUAUCUUCAAUCCAUCCAUCAACUGAAGUACAAGCAUCAGCCACUAAGAUUUGACUGACAUGUCACAAUGCAAACUUAGUCACUUUUGUAACACUAGGGAGUUUUAUUUCAGUUCAUGCAUGUGCUAUGACUGCUGAAACAACAAAUGCAAGGUUGAACCACAUUCAUAGUGUCCAAAUCAAGGGCAAUGCUGAACCAAAGCGUUUCCUGAUCUUUCCCUGGUCACCUCCUGACGAGCCUGUUUAGACCUGUCUUCGUAAUUGUCAUCUGUCUCAUGAAAUUUUAAUGACAUAAAGGCGGUGUAUAUCUCCCUGUGUCUUGUGUGCAUGUCUGGGCUUCAUACAUUUAAAAAAAAAAAAAAAAAGUAAGCUUCCCUCUCUAAGAACCAAUCUGUGCCCCCUUGGGGGUGAUAGACCCCUGCUAGGAUGGCCGCUGGAUGGUGAAGCCUGUUGUUAUCUUACGAUGAACUUACAAACUGAUUUUAGACCCUAUCCUCUCUCCUCUUGUUUAAUCCUCAUUGCAACACAAAUACAUUAACAUAUGUGAAGUUAUAGAGCUUAAUAUUUGAUCAGAAUGAAGUAAUACUUCAAGUAAACAGGAUCAAUGGACAAUUUUCCCUUCAUUCAAC